GGAAUAUUUUCUGUCUUCAAACACACUGCAGAUGCUGCAUAACAUGAAAGGACAGUUUGCUGAGCAUCUUCUUGGAGCUGGAUUUGUAAGCAGUAGAAAUCCUAAAGAUCCAGAAUCUAAUAUAAAUUCAGAUAAUGAGAAGAUAAUUAAAGCUGUCAUCUGUGCUGGUUUAUAUCCCAAAGUUGCUAAAAUUCGACUAAAUUUGGGUAAAAAAAGAAAAAUGUAAGCAUUGAAGAUUAUUAUUAAUUACUAGUAAUUCUCUUCUUAAACUUUUGAAAUCUGCUCAUGUAACAAGGCUUAUAUUGUAAAUUUGUUCUUAUUCAUAUGUGGGUUAUAUUCUUGUUCUUUUAAUCAUUUCAGAGAAGGUGAACUGUUUAGCAUUGAUAUCACUUUCCCUCACAACACAUCCUGGAAUCACUUCUCUGAUAACCCAUUAUUCACAAAGAAUGCUACCACAUGAUACCAGUGUAAAUAUUAGAAAAGCCAGCCUGCUAGUAAAUACCAGUGGCUGGAUAAAAAUUGCUUAGAGUAGAUUUUAUUUCAGAAACUUUUUUCCUCUUGCCUUAUAAAUGGAUAACUUAGCUCUUUGAAUAAAAUUGUAAUUUCACUAUUUUGAGAAAUAAAGUAUAAUAAUAUAUGUACAGGUAGCCUCAGUAGUAAUUGGAGACAACAGUGAAGUAUGAGCUAGAAUGAGCUCAUUCUAGCUAAAGGAUACAGAGAAACUAAGAGUCACAAAUGGCCAGUAGUAGUGUGGUUGCUACUAUUUUGGAAGACACUCUGUAUUAGAAUUAUGUAUUGAGUCAUUAAAAUAGUCACUGACCCAGUGCAUGAUGAGUGAGUUUUUAAUUUGAUAGCUGUGUCUUAAGGAAGUAAUUUCAAAUGUUUUCUAACAGCUAUAUUGUAAAUAAUAUAGAUUUCUAGUAGCCAUGGGAAAAUUGUGGUUUUAUAAUACUAUAAUGCGUCUCCAUAGGUGGGCAUUAAAACAGUCAUCGUGUAGUAACAUGUAAAAUAUUUAAACUGAUGUUAAAUGAAAGUUGGAUAUUCUAGAAUUAUAAACAUGAAAAAAUAAAGACUUUAAAGAUAGGCCAAAGUGCAGACAUUGUUCUUGGGCAGUGGUUCUCAACUGGCAUGAUUUUGCCCCCAAAGGGGACAUUGGAAAGUGUCUGGAGAUACUUGUGGUUGUCGUAACAGUGUGUCAGUAGUACUAAAGUCAAGAAACCCUAUUCCAAGGUAUAAGGUAAUGGGUAGCUGAUGAAUUUUAAUCAUUGUGGUUGGAUUAUUCACAUUUUAAGUGACCUAAGUACUUUUUCAAAAUAAUACUUAGCCAGAAAUUUUUGUGUGUGUGUGUACCUAACUUUACAGGUAGCUUAACAGUGAGUCACUUUGAAAUUCAUUUUAUUUUCCUAUCUGCCAUCCUGGGAGGGCUUUCUGAAAAAAUGUAGUUUUCUUUGGACUGGUGCAUUGUUUUGGUCCAGACUAGGGGUCAGCAAAUUUUGACCUAUAGGCCAAAAACUUGUUUUUGUCCUUUUUUUGUUGGAACACAAACAUGUUGUUUUCAUGUUGUCUAUUCUGCUUUCCUUCUACAUUAGCAGAGUUGGACAGAAAUUAUAGAGCCCCAAAUAUAGACCCUAAAAUAUUUACUCUCUGGUCCUGUAUAGAAAUUUUCUGGGCCAGGCACAGUGGCUCACACCUGUAAUCCUAGCACUUUGGUUGGCUGAGGCUGUUAGAUUACUUGAGCCCAGGAGGUGGAGGUUGCAGUGAGUCAAGAUCACACCACUGCACAUUGAGAGAUCAUGCUAUUGCAGUCCAGCCUGGGUGACAGAACGAGACCCUGUCUCAAAAAAAAAAAAAAAAAAGAAAUUUGCCAACUUCUGCUCUAGUUAUGCAGGGUGGCAGGAUGGCAUUGGUAAAUUGACUUGAAGUGAGAAAAAAUAAUUUCUGGUUUUAUUCUAAGUAUUUAAAACUAUAAAUUCGUAACUGUGAUUCAUGAUUUUGAUUACAAGUCUUAUGAAUUCUUAGAACUUCAGAAGUGGCCAGGUGCGGUGGUUCACACUUGUAAUCCUGGCACUUUGGGAGGCCAAGGUAGGCGGACCACCUGAGGUCAGAAGUUUGAGACCAGCCUGGCCAACGUGGUGAAACCCCAUCUCUACUAAGAAUACAAAAACUAACUGGGCGUGGUGGUGGCACAUGCCUGUAAUCCCAACUACCCACGAGGCUGAGGCAGGAGAAUCGCCGGAACCCGGGAGGUGGAGGCUGCAGUGAGCUGAGAUUGGGCCACUGCACUCCAGUCUGGGUGACGGAGCAAGACUCCGUCUC
RNAcentral lists this small RNA (2316 nucleotides) under Pongo abelii (Sumatran orangutan). RNAcentral describes it as "retained intron". The record is from RNAcentral. Lineage: Eukaryota; Metazoa; Chordata; Mammalia; Primates; Hominidae.